ACCUUAAUGCUAACUCUAUUAAUAGAUAAUAAACAAUAACAAACUAAAACAUUCUAAAUUUAAGUAUAGGCGAUAGAAAUUAACUAUUAGAUGUGAUAGAAAAAGUACCGCAAGGGAAUGCUGAAAAAGAACUUAAAUAAACCAUAAAAGUAAUAAAAAGCAGAGAUUAACGCUCGUACCUUUUGCAUCAUGAUCUAGCUAGUCAAAACAAGGCAAAAAGAUUUUUAAGUCUUUCUCCCCGAAACUAGACGAGCUAUUUAAGAGCAGCCUAUACGGGCAAAUCCGUCUCUGUGGCAAAAGAGUGGAAAGACUUUUAAAUAGGGGUGAUAUAUCUAACAAGCCUAGUGAUAGCUGGUUGCUCAAGAAACGAGUCUAAGCUCCAUCUUCAACCUUAUUUUAAUUAUAAUACUAUAAAAAUAAAAACUUAAGAAAAAUUUAAAAGGGGGACAGCCCUUUUAAAAAAGGACACAACCUACAACAACGGGUAAUGAUUAUAUUUCCAUAAGGUUCACACUAAAGUAAGCCUAAAAGCAGCUACCAAUAAAGAAAGCGUCAUAGCUCAAGUUAAACCAACCCAACAAUCCCAACAACAUCCUCAAAACCCAUCACACCUAUUGAGCCUACCUAUAACAUUAUAGUUAAAUUAAUGCUAGAACUAGUAAUAAGAAACAUAAUUUCUCUAUGCAUAUCUGUAAGUCAGCUCGAACCAAUCACUGAUAAUUACCGAAUUUAUAAGUAAACUCAUCAUAACUACUAGAAAUAAAACUUUACUGUCACCGUUAACCCUACACAGGCAUGUAUCAAAGAAAGAUUAAAAGAUAAAGAAGGAACUCGGCAACCACAAGCUUCGCCUGUUUACCAAAAACAUCACCUCUAGCAAACCUAACACAUAUUAGAGGCACUGCCUGCCCAGUGAUAUAUUCAACGGCCGCGGUAUCCUGACCGUGCAAAGGUAGCAUAAUCACUUGUCCCUUAAAUAGGGACUUGUAUGAACGGCAACACGAAAGCCUAACUGUCUCCUUUAUCCACUCAAUGAAAUUGAUUUCCUCGUACAAAAGCGAGAAUAAACUAACAAGACGAGAAGACCCUAUGGAGCUUUAAACACAUAAUCAAUUCUACCAAUAUAGUCCACCUUAAAGAACACAAAAUUAUGAUUACACUGUUUUUGGUUGGGGCGACCACGGAGAAAACUUAACCUCCGAGUAAUAUAACUAAGAUAAAACAUAACAAAGUAUUAACACAUUAAACAUAGACCCAAUAAAAUUGAUCAACGAACCAAGUUACCCUAGGGAUAACAGCGCAAUCUUCUUCAAGAGCCCAUAUCGCCAAGAAGGUUUACGACCUCGAUGUUGGAUCAGGAUCCCCAGACAGUGCAACCGCCGUCAAAGGUUUGUUUGUUCAACAAUUAAAAUCCUACGUGAUCUGAGUUCAGACCGGAGCAAUCCAGGUCAGUUUCUAUCUGUUAAAUAACUCUUUUUAGUACGAAAGGAUCAAAAGAGUAAGGCCAAUGUAAAAUAUAAGCCUUUUUAAAAUUAAUGAAUCAAACUAAAUUUUUACAUAUUAUUGAACCUCAAAUCGAGGUUA
RNAcentral lists this ribosomal RNA (1584 nucleotides) under Indotyphlus maharashtraensis. RNAcentral's name for it is "16S ribosomal RNA". It matches the Rfam family "Bacterial large subunit ribosomal RNA". The record is from RNAcentral. Lineage: Eukaryota; Metazoa; Chordata; Amphibia; Gymnophiona; Indotyphlidae.